AUUUUCGCCUCCCGUUUUAAACGCUUCGGAAACAUAACUCGAAGAAUUUUACGUCGAAUUCCUGUUACUUUUAUUUUAAAUUUCUAUCAACCCAUGUAUGGACGAUUAGGUACUAUUUUUUGAUACGGUUGAGUUAAAGUUCAAGGCGAAAGAUGCUACAAUUAUUAUCAAUUUUGGGUUAUUAUUUCUCAGACCAGAACAACGUCACACGAUUUAAAUACAGAUUUGUCAAAUUCUUGAUCAUAUUCAAAAGGUCACUUCCUCCUUUGAUUUUAUUAAUUUUAUUUUCGAAAAAGUGAAAGGAAAGACAAGGAAAGUCAGGUUUGAAAUCUUGUAAUCAGUUAUUUAUAAAAAAUAAAGUUAGAUCUCUGAUUCAGUAAGUAGGAAGUUAUCUAGUAAUGUUAUUGAUCAUUGAAAUUCAUUAGUAAAUAAAAGAUAGUUGUAGGAAGCUACGUCAAAGGAACAAGGUCCUCUGGAAAAAUUUAUCCGGAUGCAGUUUGUUGAUUCUAUGAAAUCUCUUCUUCAGAGUCCACAUGGUACAGCUGCUUAUCUUUACAUGUGCUUGUCAAUAGAAGCCUUGACCCAUGACCAUUUUGAUUCUACUAUGUAUAUUUAUUAGUUCUGUAUUGAUACGCUUUCACCCGAUUUUCACGCUACGUUUCGCUCCUUCUUCGUUUCACUCUCCAAUUAUGCAUAUUAUUUGUGUUAAUCAGUGGCAAUUUUAUUUAGAUUGUCAAUUUUUAUAGAGAUUAUCCGUUUUCCUACAUAUUAUGAUUUAUGUUUUACAUGGUUUCAGUGGGGGAUUUCACGGAAGCUCAUUUAUCGUUAUGUUGUAUAAGUAAUGCAACCGUGGAAUUUAUUUAUGAUUAGAUGCUAAUUAAUUAUAAAUUCAUUUUUUUUCUUAAACUUCUGGAAUUAUUUAAACGAUAAAAGGAUCGAAAACAGAUACAUCGUGUGCACGUACAAUUUUAUUGUCAGAAUAUUUCAGCAAAGCAGAUACAUUACAUAACUAUGAAUCACUGAUACAUCAAAAUACGCAUAAUUUAUAUUAUAACGAAUUCUUUUUUAUCUUGGUGCUCGGGUCAAAGUUGAUAUUGUUUUCAAUACAUGUACAUAUUCUAAACAUAAUUUCAUAAUAAAUCCAUUAAAAAUAGCC
This is a long non-coding RNA of Osmia bicornis bicornis, 1156 nucleotides long. RefSeq lists it as uncharacterized. The transcript is spliced from 3 exons. Lineage: Eukaryota; Metazoa; Arthropoda; Insecta; Hymenoptera; Megachilidae. The record is from RefSeq and is a predicted model, not a curated record.